Molecule: ribosomal RNA, 508 nt
Filed under: Dugastella marocana
Lineage: Eukaryota; Metazoa; Arthropoda; Malacostraca; Decapoda; Atyidae
Description: partial 16S ribosomal RNA
Rfam family: Bacterial large subunit ribosomal RNA
Source: RNAcentral
GUCUACUAGAAAAAAAUAUGUAGUCUAACCUGCCCACUGAAUUUUAAAGGGCCGCGGUAUAUUAACCGUGCUAAGGUAGCAUAAUCAAUAGCCUCCUAAUUAGGGGCUGGAAUGAAUGGUUGGACGAGAAAUUAACUGUCUUAAUUAUAAUUUCUGAAUUUUACUUUUAAGUGAAAAGGCUUAAAUUUGUUAAAGGGACGAUAAGACCCUAUGAAACUUUAUGCUUUACAACUGCAUUUGGCUGGGGCGGCAUUAAUAUAACAUUUAUAAUUUAACUGUUAACAAUAAAAAAUAAAUAUAUUUAGUAGUCUUGAUCCUUUAUUAGAGAUUAAAAAAUUAAAGUUACUCUAGGGAUAACAGCGUAAUUUCUCUUGAGAGUCCGUAUCGACAGAGAUAGUUGCGACCUCGAUGUUGAAUUAAAAUUUCGGCAAGGUGUAGGAGUUUUGUCAGUAGGUCUGUUCGACCUUUAAAAUUUUACAUGAUUUGAGUUCAGACCGGCGUGAGCCAG